RNAcentral lists this long non-coding RNA (3528 nucleotides) under Vigna radiata. RNAcentral's name for it is "long non-coding RNA (VRAD_LNC002409)". Lineage: Eukaryota; Viridiplantae; Streptophyta; Magnoliopsida; Fabales; Fabaceae. The record is from RNAcentral.
GAUUGUAACAAAAUGAAUAUUAGCUGAUAGGCAUAUUCAAAAUGAAAAGCAAAGGCUGAGUGAGUGUGAAAAAGGCUAUAAUAUAGGCUUUUGUUGGAUGAAAAAUGUGAUUAGAGCAAAAGCAUCCACAUUGAACCUACUAAUCCUAAAACAUGAGGAACACAAAUUAUUCAUACUCUAACAUGUGUGAUGAAAGAAGAAUGCAUAGAAAUAGAAGGUUAAUUUGACUUGGCAGAGUUUUUACAAGAAGUGAAGUAUUGAAGUUUUUGACUUGUCGGCCAAAGUGACCCUACUGGCCACCAUCUUCCAACCUUCCUCCAUUUUUCUUCCUCCGUGUGUGACCGACAAAACAGUGCUUGCCCCAAUCUUGUAAAAUUUGUCUACACAUAGAGAUCAAGAAAGAAGCUCUCUUGCAAGUUGUAAUUGAAAAUUGAGGAAGCACAAGUCCCCAUUAUGCAGCACAUUAAUUAUUUGCUUGCUUGAGACUGCUGCUGUUACUUUCAAAUCUAUUUUGUGGGGUUAUCAUUAUUUCUACCAAUUCUUGAAGCCGUGUGUAUAACAAGACUUGUGCUCAAUAAUAAUACCUCCGUGUUCUGUGAUUUUGUGGUUUUUUUCAAGGGAACCAUGCAUGCCUCAAGUUCAUGUACUUCAACACCUCAUACUUAAAUUGUAGUUGGAUUCAUGGGGCACUGAUUCACAAGAUCAAUUCGAACCUUCUGCUUCCAUUAGCAGACAAAAUUCAAACGUCAAAUUAUUGGCUCACCACAGAUUUCUUUAACUUUUGUUUUGAUUAUCUAAAUUCACUCAUACAACAUGAUCUUCCUCUCAGUCUACUUAUCUGUAUAUUUGGAUUUAUAAUGGCANAGUUAACAAAUUCUGAGUUAUUAGCAGAACAGUGAGUGUACCAAAAAAAAAAAACAUUUGAGGGCAAUUGAAGUUAAAUUCUGUAUGAUUAGUACUUGUCCCUAUUCUGAAGGUUUGUUUAUACUAAAAAUGUGCAUUGGUUGCAACCUAUAUGGACUCAUUUUCUUGAUUGAUCAACAUAUUAAGAAUAUAAGGUAUAUUGUUCUACCAUGAGUAAGAAGGAUUACUAUACGUGUCGAUCAAUCAUUCAUGUGCCCCCAUUUUCAAUCAAAUAAAGCUUUGGGGUCCAUUAAUGGAUAGCUACUGACCCACCACUCCAUUGAUGAAACUCACAUGUUAUAACACACCGUUACUCACUUUGAUUCAUGAGAAUUGACUAAAUCAGAAUCUGCCCCACAUUGCCUUUCGUUUUAACUUUUAUCUGUUUUAUCAUUUAUUCAUUGGCUCGCUUUGGUCCUUAUAUAGACAUUUUAUGCUUGACUGAAUGGUAAGUGACACAACGGGAAGGGAAAUUGUGUGGUGAAAAGCACCAAGUGAUGGGGUUAAUCCAGCUAUUGCUUUCACAGCUCAGACAAAAAUACCUGUAGCCUUCAAUGAAAAGGGAAAAGCCUACAGACACAAGCCUAGGUUCUGGUUUGAAUGUGAAAGCCAUGCAACACAAAAUAAAGAGCCACAUUUAAGGCACAUCCAUCUACCCCUUCUGGAUCCCAUCACCUGUUUCAAGCUUUCCAACCUAGCUUACAGAUUUUGUGUCAUAAAUAGAUGAGGUGUGAAAAAGUAGUUCCUGUGGGAAAAAAAGAAAGUUACACUAACCUAAAGCUGUCAAAAAUGCAAGGUAUAAUUGAAUCAAUGAUAUGAUAUCCAACUAUUAAAGACCUCCAUUUUGUCUCUAAUGAUGUGUAAAUAAUUAUUACUGAUAUGUUUAAUUCAUCCAGUCCCUCCAUAAUACCAUCAUUCGAUCUCAAAUGGGGGCCCACUGUUUUUCUUAUUUAUAUCAAACUGACUACCACACUAUUCUCCCAUAUGCACCUUACCUUGAGCAGUUUCUCUCUCUCACAACUUUCAUUUAUACAAAACAGCAUCAUUCUCCUUUCUGCUAACACUUUAACUAGCUUUUCUUCAUGGCUCUCUUUCUCUUUGCUAUUUUAAUCUUGAUGGCCCCUUCAAGCAAUGCCUAUUGGCCACCUUCACCUGGCUACUGGCCAAGUUCCAAAUUCAGCUCUAUGAGUUUUUACAAAGGGUUUCGAAAUCUCUGGGGCCCUCAGCACCAAAGUCUAGACCAAAAUGCAUUAACAAUCUGGCUUGAUAGAACCUCAGGUAUGAAUCCGAUCACUUUCAAUGCUCUCUCUUUCUCUUGCAUGAUAUCAUUGAAAUCUUAAUCCACCUUCACUGCUUUGUUUCUGGAGAACAGGAAGUGGCUUCAAGUCGGUAAGGCCAUUUCGAUCCGGUUACUUUGGGGCUUCCAUUAAGGUCCAACCUGGCUAUACUGCAGGAGUUAUCACAGCUUUCUAUGUAAGAUAUGGCCUCAAGAGAUCAUAUAAUAAAGUGUUAUCGGUUGAAACUAACUUGAAAGCUUACACUUUUUUCCGUAGUGUAGCUAGUUAAUUAAUUACUGUUAUUAGUGAAUAUAAUGAUUAUUUGACUAAUGGCAGCUCUCAAACAAUGAAGCACAUCCUGGUUUCCAUGAUGAAGUGGACAUCGAGUUUCUUGGGACAACAUUUGGAAAGCCUUACACUUUGCAGACGAAUGUUUAUAUAAGAGGAAGUGGAGAUGGGAGAAUUAUAGGCAGAGAGAUGAAGUUCCAUCUCUGGUUUGAUCCUACCAAAGAUUUUCAUCACUAUGCUAUUCUGUGGAGUCCCAAGGAAAUAAUGUGAGUCACUAUACAUAAUACACUGUUACUCUUUCUGAAUGUAUGUGUGAGACUGUGGCUCUAUUUGAAAUUAAAUGCAUAGAUUUUCAGUCCUAAUACAAAAGAAAAGGAUAGACAAGGUAGGAACUACUUCGUUUUCUUCUGAAGUAGAUAGGUAGGAGUGAAGAUCAAAGGAACUUAGUAAGAUUGGAUUCUGUGUAUGUGGCAUCAGAUUGAUUGGUUCUUAUCAUAAGGUGUCACGGUCUGGCCAAAACUGAUUGGCUGGACAUUUGAUAUUCAGAAUACUUUUUUUAUAUAAUUUUCUAUAGAAAAGGACUAAAAAUAAGUGAUAUGAUUAUAGAAAAAUGUAAGAAUGGUAUAACCGGACUGAUAUUUUUGUAAGAUGAAGUUAAGGCAAGUAGGGAUUUGACAGGAAUAGACAAUCAUGUAGAAAAAUGGUAGAAUCAAGGUCACAUGAGUGGCACAAAAAACCCAAGCAUCAAAGUGUGGGGUAAGCAAAAUCUGCUGACUCCCAGCUAAUGAAAAAGCUAAAAGUGACAUUUAAUUAAUUGAUCUAGUAGUUCCUUAGAGAACCGUAAUUAUAAGAUGAGUUUCAAGUGUUGAGUGGUGCAUAUGGUGAAUCUUAAAAAAGGGUGUGUCUGAUUUGUAUUACCUGGUUAACAUUGCUUUCACUGACAUCGAAUUGCGUGUCAGAUUCCUAGUGGAUGAUGUGCCAAUAAGAAGGUACCCGAGGAAGAGUGGUGCAACGUUUCCUCUGAGACCAAUGUGGCUAUAUGGUUCAAUAUGGGAUGCUU